UAUUUUAAGGUUUAACCUGCCCACUGAUUUUUAAAUGGCCGCAGUAUUUUGACUGUGCAAAGGUAGCAUAAUCAUUAGUUUUUUAAUUGAAAGCUGGAAUGAAAGGUUGGAUGAAAAAAAUUCUGUCUCUAUUUAAUAAAUUGAAAUUUAUUUUUAAGUAAAAAAGCUUAAAUUUUUUAAAAAGACGAGAAGACCCUAUAGAGUUUUAUAAAAAUAAUAUUUUUUAUUUUAGAAUUAAUAAUUAAUUUAUAAAUUUUUAUUUGGUUGGGGUGAUUUUAAAAUUUAAUUAACUUUUAAUAUUUUUAGACAUUUAUUUAUGAAUUUUUGAUCCUUAAAUUAAGAUUAUAAGAAAAAAUUACCUUAGGGAUAACAGCGUUAUUUUUUUUUAGAGUUCAAAUUAAAAAAAAAGUUUGCGACCUCGAUGUUGGAUUAAAAUUUAGUUUUGGUGAAGAAGCUAAAAACCUAGGUCUGUUCGACCUUUAAAAUUUUACAUGAUCUGAGUUUAAACCGGUGUGAGCCAGGUUGGUUUCUAUCUUUUAAAUAUUAAUAAAUUUUAGUACGAAAGGACCAAAUUUAAAAUAUAUUAUUUUUUUUGUGAAUAAAUUUAUUAUUUUGGCAGAAUAGUGCAAUAGAUUUAGAAUCUUUUUAUGUAAUUUAAAUUACAAGUAAUACUUGAUAUUUAAAGAUUUAUUUUUAAUUUUUUUUAGUAUUUUUUUUUUAUUAAUUAUAGUUUUAGUAGGAGUAGCUUUUUUAACUUUAUUAGAACGAAAAGUUUU
This 776-nucleotide ribosomal RNA is filed under the name Dacne bipustulata. Its description in RNAcentral is "partial 16S ribosomal RNA". The stretch from base 1 to 560 matches the Rfam family "Bacterial large subunit ribosomal RNA", at positions 1841 to 2925 of the family's 2925-position model. Lineage: Eukaryota; Metazoa; Arthropoda; Insecta; Coleoptera; Erotylidae. The record is from RNAcentral.